Molecule: ribosomal RNA, 253 nt
Filed under: uncultured bacterium
Lineage: Bacteria
Description: partial 16S ribosomal RNA
Rfam family: Bacterial small subunit ribosomal RNA
Source: RNAcentral
UACGUAGGGCGCAAGCGUUGUCCGGAAUUAUUGGGCGUAAAGAGCCCGUAGGCGGCUUGUCACGUCGGGUGUGAAAGCCCGGGGCUUAACCCCGGGUCUGCAUUCGAUACGGGCUAGCUAGAGUGUGGUAGGGGAGAUCGGAAUUCCUGGUGUAGCGGUGAAAUGCGCAGAUAUCAGGAGGAACACCGGUGGCGAAGGCGGAUCUCUGGGCCAUUACUGACGCUGAGACGCGAAAGCGUGGGGAGCAAACAGG